This 450-nucleotide ribosomal RNA is filed under the name uncultured bacterium. RNAcentral's name for it is "bacterial SSU rRNA". It matches the Rfam family "Bacterial small subunit ribosomal RNA", at positions 355 to 796 of the family's 1533-position model. The record is from RNAcentral.
UGGGGAAUUGUUCGCAAUGGGCGCAAGCCUGACGACGCAACGCCGCGUGGAGGAUGAAGAUCUUCGGGUCGUAAACUCCUUUCGAUCGAGACGAAUUCCCUUGGGGUGAACAAUCCCGAGGGUUGACGGUACCGAGAGAAGAAGCCCCGGCUAACUCCGUGCCAGCAGCCGCGGUAAUACGGGGGGGGCAAGCGUUGUUCGGAAUUACUGGGCGUAAAGGGCUCGUAGGCGGCCAACUAAGUCAGACGUGAAAUCCCUCGGCUUAACCGGGGAACUGCGUCUGAUACUGGAUGGCUUGAGUUCGGGAGAGGGAUGCGGAAUUCCAGGUGUAGCGGUGAAAUGCGUAGAUAUCUGGAGGAACACCGGUGGCGAAGGCGGCAUCCUGGACCGACACUGACGCUGAGGAGCGAAAGCCAGGGGAGCAAACGGGAUUAGAUACCCCCGUAGUCC